UGAUUUACUUUUUUAAUAUCUAGUGACCUUGGCCUAAAGUUAGGUUUAGAUUUAUAAAGAAUAGGUUACUCGUUUUUAAUUUUACUGUUAUUUUACAUUUUUAUUUGUUUUUAAGUAUAAUAAUAAAGUAUAUUAAAAUUAAUUUGCUUAUAUUAAGAUUAAUUUAGCCAUAUUGGUUAUAUAUUGAGAUUAAAUAGAUAUCUCUUUCUUAGGGACAAGUAUAUGAUCGAUUUUAUCGAAUAAAGUUCUAGAUAGGAGACUGAUUAUGACAAUUUCCUAUCUAUGUGUCUUGGCUAAAUUACGUGCCAGCAGCCGCGGCAAUACGUAGAAGACUAGUGUUGUUCAUCUUUAUUAGGUUUAAAGGGUACCUAGACGGUAUAAUUAGUCUUUAAUAGGAAACAUUUGUACUAGAGUUAUAUAUGAGAAGGCGAGUAUUUAUGGAGUAGAGUUGAAAUUUUGUUAUACCAUGACGACUGAUAACGGCGAAAGCAACCUUUUAUCUAAUAACUGACGUUGAGGGACGAAGGCUCGGGUAACGAACAGGAUUAGAUACCCUAGUAGUCCAAGCAGAAAAUUAUGAAUGCCAUAGAUUAGAUACUUUGAUAUUGAUUUAAUUUUAUACUUUAAUGUAGUAUUGAUGAUUGGAUACUUUAUAGAAUUUAUGAUUUAUCUAAAGUUAUAUAUUUAGUUUAUAAAUGAAAGUGUAAGCAUUUCACCUCAAGAGUAGCUGGCAUCGCAGGAACUGAAAUCAUUAGACCGUUUCUGAAACCAGUAGUGAAGUAUGUUGUUUAAUUGGUAGAUACGCGAAAAACCUUACCACAAUUUGAAUAAUUUUUUUUUAUUAAUUUAAUUUACCUCAGAUUAAAUGUAUUAAUAUUAAAUAUUACCAGCGUUGCACGGCUGUCGGCAGUUAAUGUCGUGAGAUAUUGGUUAAUUCCAUUUAAUUAACGGAAGCCCUUGCUUUAUUUGUCCUUU
This 975-nucleotide ribosomal RNA is filed under the name Dicephalospora rufocornea. Its description in RNAcentral is "SSU rRNA". The stretch from base 187 to 975 matches the Rfam family "Bacterial small subunit ribosomal RNA", at positions 1 to 1123 of the family's 1533-position model. Lineage: Eukaryota; Fungi; Ascomycota; Leotiomycetes; Helotiales; Helotiaceae. The record is from RNAcentral.